CCCUUAGAUGUCCUGGGCUGCACGCGCGCUACACUGAUGCGUCCAAUAAGCACCUAACCUAAUCCGAAGGGACCGGGUAACCUUAGCAAAGCGCAUCGUGAUGGGGAUAGAUUAUUGCAAUUAUUAGUCUUGAACGAGGAAUUCCUAGUAAGCGCAAGUCAUCAGCUUGUGUUGAUUACGUCCCUGCCCUUUGUACACACCGCCCGUCGCUCCUACCGAUUGGGUGUGCUGGUGAAAUGUUCGGAUCGGCCGUUUGUCGCGGUUUCCGCGUCAUGUGGCUGAGAAGUUCAUUAAACCCUCCCACCUAGAGGAAGGAGAAGUCGUAACA
This 328-nucleotide ribosomal RNA is filed under the name uncultured eukaryote. RNAcentral describes it as "partial 18S ribosomal RNA". It matches the Rfam family "Eukaryotic small subunit ribosomal RNA", at positions 1470 to 1796 of the family's 1831-position model. The record is from RNAcentral.